CCUACGGGAGGCAGCAGUGGGGAAUAUUGCACAAUGGGGGAAACCCUGAUGCAGCAACGCCGCGUGAAGGAAGACGGUUUUCGGAUUGUAAACUUCUAUCAAUAGGGAAGAAAGAAAUGACGGUACCUAAAUAAGAAGCCCCGGCUAACUACGUGCCAGCAGCCGCGGUAAUACGUAGGGGGCAAGCGUUAUCCGGAUUUACUGGGUGUAAAGGGAGCGUAGACGGCCAGACAAGUCAGAAGUGAAAGCCCAGGGCUCAACCCUGGGACUGCUUUUGAAACUGCCGGGCUGGAGUGCAGGAGAGG
Molecule: ribosomal RNA, 305 nt
Filed under: uncultured bacterium
Lineage: Bacteria
Description: bacterial SSU rRNA
Rfam family: Bacterial small subunit ribosomal RNA
Source: RNAcentral